GACGAACGCUGGCGGCGUGCUUAACACAUGCAAGUCGAACGGAAAGGCCCCUUUGGGGGUACUCGAGUGGCGAACGGGUGAGUAACACGUGAGUAACCUGCCCUUGACUUCGGGAUAACUUCAGGAAACUGGGGCUAAUACCGGAUAGGAAUCCUUGCUGCAUGGUGGGGGUUGGAAAGCUUCGGCGGUUUUGGAUGGACUCGCGGCUUAUCAGCUUGUUGGUGGGGUAGUGGCUUACCAAGGCUUUGACGGGUAGCCGGCCUGAGAGGGCGACCGGCCACAUUGGGACUGAGAGACGGCCCAGACUCCUACGGGAGGCAGCAGUGGGGAAGAUUGCACAAUGGGCGGAAGCCUGAUGCAGCAACGCCGCGGGCGGGAUGACGGCCUUCGGGUUGUAAACCGCUUUCAGCAGGGGCGAAGCUUGUGGUGACGGUACCUGCAGAAGAAGCACCGGCUAACUACGUG
This 465-nucleotide ribosomal RNA is filed under the name uncultured bacterium. Its description in RNAcentral is "partial 16S ribosomal RNA". It matches the Rfam family "Bacterial small subunit ribosomal RNA", at positions 28 to 507 of the family's 1533-position model. The record is from RNAcentral.